Molecule: unclassified non-coding RNA, 634 nt
Filed under: Hevea brasiliensis (rubber tree)
Lineage: Eukaryota; Viridiplantae; Streptophyta; Magnoliopsida; Malpighiales; Euphorbiaceae
Source: RNAcentral
GGGAAGUCUCAGUCUGCCAAAUCAAUCGGUUCCAGUUCAACAUGCACAACCACCCCUUUGCUCGCUUUCGGAAACAGCCUCAGGGAUGCCUUGGAAGUAUAUGUCUUGUUCAUGCUCAUUGGCUAGAGCAGUUUUCGCAAUAGAUCAACAUUGUAAUCCUCUUUUGCUGAUGUCUCAAAGUAAGGAAUGUUUCCUUUAGAAGCACACCACUCCUUUGCUUUCUUCUCAGAAACCACUCGACUAUUUCCACCAUCAAUGUCAAUCUUGUUUCCAAGCAAUAUAAAUGGAAACGUCUUGGGAUCAGGUGGGUUUGCCUGUUUAAGAAAUUCCUCGUGCCAGUUGUCAAGAGUGUCAAAAGAUCUCAUCACAUUAACAUCAUAAACCAGAACGCAGCAAUCUGCCCCUCUAUAGAAUGCAACUCCAAGACUCUGAAAUCUCUCUUGCCCAGCUGUGUCCCAUAUUUGCAGGGUGACGAGCCUGUCAUCAAUUUGGAGUUCUUUGGUCACAAAAUCAGCACCAAUUGUAGCUUUAUACUGCUGACUAAACUUCUUAUGCACAUAUUGAUUCAUCAAAGAAGUCUUGCCAACCCCGCUGUCCCCGAGAACGAUCACCUUGAGCAAGGUACGCCUCCGCA